ACCUUCUUUUAUUUGGUGUUUUCUACAUUUUAAAUCCUACUCAUUCUGCUUAGUUUUUGUUCUAUUUGGGUUUUGUAGUUCAAAGCCGAUUUGGGGAUUUUGAAAUGGUGGACGCUGGGCCCAGUUACACCACUUCAGUGGAACCAUGCAGGAUGAUAUCAUAGUGGAUCCAGUGGAGUCUCCAGAGAUUGUUGAUGAUCCAUUCCAAACUAUGUGAGUUUUCAAGUUGAAAAGUGGGAGUAUAGCUCAAAGAAAAACCCUUGAUUGAAUAAAUUACUGAAGAGCCAAUUUAACAUCAGCAGAUAUGAGGGAAUCUGAUUUCAGUAGUUCAACUUUCAAUGGUGCAUACAUGGAGAAAGCUGUCACAUAUAAGGCAAACUUUGAGGGAAGAGCAUGGUGGCAUGUGCUUUGGGUGGGAGUUUGUACUGCAGGGGAAGCCGUCGUACAUUCUUGAAGCAGAACAUUGUGCAGAGAACAUUCGGAGGAUUGGAACCAUGGGUUAAGAAAAUGGGUCCAAAUUCAGAGCUGCGUUCUUCUUCCCUCAAAAUAAGAAGAAAACACUUCCUCAGCACCAUAUUUUGGUACCUCAAGUAUAUUUGUGUUCUAAAGCCUUCUGCUUCUUUCAGUUUCUUCAAAGCUAUUAUUUUGCCCAUAUGUGAUUUGUAAAGUGCAAGAUUUGAUUUCAUGUCUUGAGUACUUAUGGUUUUGUACAGUGCAAACUUAAGCUUAUUGAUCCAAUUGGGUAGAACAAUAUACUCAACCAAUUUCAUAUCCUCUUGGCCAAAGGAGAGUAUAAUACUUGCCACUGAGAAAAAUA
Malus domestica (apple) is the source of this 817-nucleotide non-coding RNA. The record is from RefSeq and is a predicted model, not a curated record. Lineage: Eukaryota; Viridiplantae; Streptophyta; Magnoliopsida; Rosales; Rosaceae.